This 2810-nucleotide unclassified non-coding RNA is filed under the name Leishmania donovani. RNAcentral's name for it is "gene:LdHU3.35.3980(CDS-product:phospholipase_A1_p utative)". The record is from RNAcentral. Lineage: Eukaryota; Euglenozoa; Kinetoplastea; Trypanosomatida; Trypanosomatidae.
GUUGUUGCGCCACCUUGUCCUUUUCUUUUGUUUUUCUCUGCCGGUGAGUCACAGAUACGCACGCAAGCCCUCGGCGCGCCAUUUCUGCCGCGGCAAGCUGUGACAGGGCGACCCCUACCCCACUUACACAUUAGAUCUAAAAACGCGCAAGCUGAUCAUAUAUAUAUAUAUAUAUAUUCUCUAUGUACAGGCGCACACACGCAUCGCGCGCAAUGCACCCGAUCUUCGACUACAUCUUGUCUAUUCACUACCUGCCGGCCGGGUCGUCGGUGCUGCUGUCAUGCCUUGCGGCGGCGUGGGGGGUGGAUUGGAAGACGUGCCUCAUGAUGACCUGUGUGGGCUCACUUGUGACGUGCGCCGCCUUCUACGUUCAGCCCUUGCAGUGCUUUUCCCCGCUCGGGGGAAAGUUCAACGUGGGCACGCGUGAGGUGUGUGGUGAGCGCGGUGCCAUGAAGCCCCCUGUCACCAUCGUCUACCCGACCACCAGCGGCACGCCGCGGAGCGGAAUCCAGUACAUUCCGUUUGGCGAGCGCGGUUACCUGGCUGGCAUGGCCAGCUACAGUAAAGUUCCCUACGCACUGGUGAAAGACCUUUGCCUUCUGCGCAGGAAGAUGCGACCCGACGCGGAGCCGGCGCCGCUCUUCCAGCACGAUGGCAUCCCACGCCCGAUGAUCGUGUUCAGCCACGGUCUUGCCGGAUUUCCGCACUUGUACAGCACACUGCUGAUGGACCUCGCUGCGCGCGGUGCCGUCGUGUUUGCCCUGUCGCACAUGGACGGCAGCGCUGCUUUCUGCCGCGACGCCGGGAGGGAGAUUCGCAUUUCGCUGAACACCCAGGUAGGCUGGACCACGGAGGAUCGCGCUCCGCAGCUAGAGGUUCGCAUCCGAGAGACCCUCAACACAAUCAAGCGCAUCCGCAGCGGCGAGCUACUGCUCGCGCUCGGGUACGACAAGGAGACGGUGGACACGUACAUCGCAAGGGAGCCGCGCGUUCACCUCGUUGGGCAUUCGUUUGGCGGCGCGACAUGCCUGGCGGCUGCCCUGAAUGACACGCAAGACGCGAGUGAAAGGGGCGGCGUGAGCAGCGUCGCCAGCACUGUCGUCUACGACCCGUGGAUGAUCCCGCUGCGGAAGACGAUGUUCUACGACAAGCUCACGGACAGGAAGCAACCGGUCCACUUCACCACACCAACGCUGCAGAUCUUCUCUGAGGAGUGGGUGCGGAGCAAGGAGCAGCACGCGUUCUUUGAGGAGGUCAAGGCCAUCGUCGAUGCGCAGCCGCGCUCGACUGAGGAGAGCGCUCUUGUGGCAGCAGUCGACGCCAAGCUGAAGGUAAUGAAGACGUCAUGGUACACGAUAAAGGACUACCGCGGCACUGGGCACUUGACGUGCACGGACGUCUCAUUGUUCAGUCCGGUGCUGUACCGCGCCGCUUACAUGACGGCGUCACCGAGAGGCUGCAUUGUAGCGUUCGCAGCAGACACACUGCGGUUCAUUGAAAAGGUCUCCGGCCCGUUGCCCCUCGACACCAAACUUCUCAACGACUCGGCGCUCGCCGCUGCGCUGAGGGGGUAAAGGUUGUUUGCCACUUUACACGCCGAGCCACCAUAAGCUGUCUCCCUGUUUCCGGCCAUGCCAGCAACGAGAGGCAGAGAUGCAGAGAACCGUAGUCCACGAAAACAGCGAUGCGAGUCCUCGCACGGUGGCAAGCUAGCUGGGUGAUGAAAACAAUGCGACUUCUGCUUUACGAGGGCUAUCGAAGUGCUGCCAACUCUCUCUCCCUCAUACACACGCAGAAACAGCGAGCUCUCUUGAGAUCGCUUGACACACUCCCGAGGUGGUUUGCCUCUUUCUUUCCGUUUUAAGAGUGUGUCGGACUGUCGUGCGGCGCUACUGCACACCGCUGUCUUAACCGCGCGUCUCUUAUUUCACCAUGAUGUCUCCCUACCCACCCAUGCAGCUCAUCGGUGCGCAGCGCAAAGGGGUGCUGCGCGACCGUUGCCGGCGUAUGGCGCCAAACAAAAAAGCAAAAGGAAGUCGUCAAGCUCGUUCCUUUUACCGUUCUCUUUUUUUUUCUUCCGAUGUUGCAGAUGGGAGAAUUCUGGCGUGGGUCCGCUAUCGCUGCCGCUGGGCCAAUAGACCAUUCGCACACUAUUCUGCUCUCGGCCAAGUCACUGUAGCGCGAAAGAGCAAGGAUAAAGAAUAAGCAAGUGAAACACCGUGCGCCAGUUUAGUCUGUAUUCCUCCAGGGGCAAGAGUGGGCCUUAACCCUUGUGGCGGAAUGCGCGACAGUCACCGAGAAGAUAGCACAUACACAACCGUCUGCUUGCGCCGCCUUCUUAUUAUUGAAUGUCAAAACACAUAUUGAGAGACCCAUGUCACGAGCCACCGCGCCAGAUCACGGAAUAGCGCGACUUGCAGCGGCUCUGGGCGCAGGAGCACGGCACGCAGGCCGGGCCUCAGAGGGCCCUAACCCCGAGGCUGGCCCGCCUCCUUCUCGAGCUCGUGCGGCGUGCACGGUGGCCGCCCCCUGUUACGCGGGCGACAGAGACGCCGUCGCCACUGCCCUGGAGCGCAGGACGCUGCAGGCGACCCUGCUUGGAUCGAGGCAUGCGCCCCAGCGGAGGCCCGUCUGGCGCCCGAGGCGCGCGGCUCGAUUUCGCGGCAGAGGGCGGUGCGCCCUAGACGACCAGAGUGUAGCCGUGGUGCCGCAGAGGUGGGUGAGCUGUGGUUGCGUGUGCGCUCAUUCGUUGGCGUGUGCGUGGUAGAACAACACGCUGGAAGCAAGCGAGGAUCCCUCUGCAACUGAUU